UUCCCUUGAAAGCCUAAAAUUAAAAGAAACCCUAACAGAUCGAGAGAAAAUGAGUAGCUAUGGUGAGUGAAUUCAGUACUGUGAAAUGAAAAGGAAAAAGAAGUGUGAUUGGUGUAGGUGUAUUGACUUGGUGUUGUUGGAAAUGGGAAAUUUGGGGGCAAUUUUUGAGAUUAAAAGGGAAAAAGAAUUAAGUACAAACUUUUAUUUGGGGGAUUUAG
This 218-nucleotide long non-coding RNA is filed under the name Gossypium raimondii (Peruvian cotton). RNAcentral describes it as "long non-coding RNA (GRAI_LNC007397)". The record is from RNAcentral. Lineage: Eukaryota; Viridiplantae; Streptophyta; Magnoliopsida; Malvales; Malvaceae.